Molecule: ribosomal RNA, 468 nt
Filed under: uncultured bacterium
Lineage: Bacteria
Description: partial 16S ribosomal RNA
Rfam family: Bacterial small subunit ribosomal RNA
Source: RNAcentral
GACGAACGCUGGCGGCGUGCUUAACACAUGCAAGUCGAACGGACAGGCCCUGCUUUUGUUGGGUGCUCGUGUGGCGACCGCGUGAGUAACACGUGUGUAACCUGCCCUUGUCUUUGUGAUAACUUCUGGAAACUGGGGCUAUUACCCGAUAUGAUCUCCUGCUGCAUGUUGGGGGUUGGAAAGUUUCGGCGGUUGGGGAUGGACUCGCGGCUUAUCAGCUUGUUUGUGGGGUUGUUGCUUACCAAGGCUUUGACGGGUAGCCGGCCUGGGAGGGUGACCGGGGACAUGGGGACUGAGAGAGGGCGCAGACUGGAACGGGAGGCAACAGGGGGAAAUAUUGCAGAAUGGGGGGAAGCCAGAGGCAGAAACGCCGCGUGCGGGAUGACGGCCUACGGGUUGAAAACAGAUGUGGAAGGUGACGAAGAGUGAGUGACGGUAAUGGGUAAAGAAGCAACGGCUAACUACGUG